AGAAAGCGAUUUUUUUUUUUUUUUGGGAAACGAUGCUGAAUAUAUUAUUCAGGAUGUAUAAUAGUCUAUCCAUUUAACUAGACUAAACACCUUGAAGUUUCCACUUUUUUUAUCAACAAUUAUGCUUCAUCAGUUAUCAAUCCUAUGGGGCAUGUAUUCACCCAUCCAUCUUCCAUUCCUUGUUUUGCAAUACCUUUUUUAUUAAAGUUCCUGCUUCAUAAGUUGGGGAAAAUCAUGUAAACUAGUGGGGUUAUUUGGAAACAGACUUGUAUUUGUGUGAUAGCAUUAUUUGUGUGUAGUGUGUGAAGAAGAUUCUAGUCUGAUGCUUUGGAUAUGUACUAUUGAUAUGUGAAAAUAGCAGCCAAUUUUUUUUUUAAUUUCUAAUUUUAUCUCAAAUGGGUUGUAUUGGGUAGAUCAAUUUUAUUGAAAAUGCUGAGAAUGAUUUAGGAGGAAAGAAAUGAUAGAAAUUUGUCGAACUUUUAUUUCCCCAUGAUCUAGGAAAUGGAAUAUUCCUGAUCUUAGAUUCUGAUAUUUGGGGGAAAAGGGGAACAUGACCUCCCACAGACAUUGUUUCUACAAGUUACGCAUCCACUUAAAAGUUAAAAGUUUUAGAAUCAAAGUUCAUCUAGAGGAUCUCUAGCAUUACACUCCACAUAAUUUUGUGUUAUAGCUUUCUCUUCUUCCAAUGGAUCAUGCAAAUGAAAAAUAAGAAUGUAUUAAAUUAUAUCCAUUACAUUAUGGUAUACCAAACAUUCUCUAAAGUCCUAUAAUGGCUGUUAAAAAAAAUAGUAUAUAUUAUCUUGUUCUAAAGUGGGACUUGGAUCAAUUUAGACAGUCCUACCUGUUAGCUUUUUUGCAUGAAGUGGGCCAAGUGGCUUCUCUUAAGACUUUAAUCUGCAGUCUUGCAGUUGCAAGUCCAAUGCUUUUGCAAUUGCACCAAGCAACGGCCCCUUCAUGGUACUGAUACUUGAAUAUCUUGAUAUACUUUUGUGACCAUGAUCCUGAAAUUAUGUUUCUUUGCUCUGUUUUGCCAUUUGGAUUCCAUGCUAUCUCAACAUAAAAUCGUAUUAUCAUUUUUUGGUUUUUGAACAUGGUGCCUGUAGGUUUAAAGGAAUGAUAUUCACUCUUCGCAUGCUCUGUUACAUUCUUAUCCCAUGUAUUAGCAUUUUUAACAGCAAUCAUGUUUGUGCCCAAGCAUAGACUGCUCAUUUACUUGAGUAUGAUUUGUGAUAUGAAGUUGAUG
Molecule: unclassified non-coding RNA, 1243 nt
Filed under: Hevea brasiliensis (rubber tree)
Lineage: Eukaryota; Viridiplantae; Streptophyta; Magnoliopsida; Malpighiales; Euphorbiaceae
Source: RNAcentral